This 340-nucleotide long non-coding RNA is filed under the name Mytilus galloprovincialis (Mediterranean mussel). Lineage: Eukaryota; Metazoa; Mollusca; Bivalvia; Mytilida; Mytilidae. The record is from RNAcentral.
CGCUCACCUGAUUCUACUUGGGUUUUUGAAAUCAUAUAAAAAAAUAUAAAAUUUGGCUAAAAGUGACAACACAACCUCAUUUAUAAGGAAAGGAACAUGUUUAAUUUCAUUCAAAAGUCCCCACUGGCAGCCAUCUUGGAUGACGGAUCGGCUACAAAGUAACAACACUUGGUCAGCACCUCAUAAGGAACAUUCAUGCCAUGUUUGGUUUUAUUCCAUUCAGUGGUUCUCUAAAAGAAGUCAUUUGUAUGCAUUUCCCAUAGGGUCCUAUGUUAAACUAAGUCCCCUGCUGGCGGCCAUCUUGGAUGAUGGAUCGGCUACAAAGUAACAACACUUGGUC